This 1430-nucleotide ribosomal RNA is filed under the name Lactiplantibacillus plantarum. RNAcentral's name for it is "bacterial SSU rRNA". It matches the Rfam family "Bacterial small subunit ribosomal RNA". The record is from RNAcentral. Lineage: Bacteria; Bacillati; Bacillota; Bacilli; Lactobacillales; Lactobacillaceae.
CGAACGAACUCUGGUAUUGAUUGGUGCUUGCAUCAUGAUUUACAUUUGAGUGAGUGGCGAACUGGUGAGUAACACGUGGGAAACCUGCCCAGAAGCGGGGGAUAACACCUGGAAACAGAUGCUAAUACCGCAUAACAACUUGGACCGCAUGGUCCGAGCUUGAAAGAUGGCUUCGGCUAUCACUUUUGGAUGGUCCCGCGGCGUAUUAGCUAGAUGGUGGGGUAAUGGCUCACCAUGGCAAUGAUACGUAGCCGACCUGAGAGGGUAAUCGGCCACAUUGGGACUGAGACACGGCCCAAACUCCUACGGGAGGCAGCAGUAGGGAAUCUUCCACAAUGGACGAAAGUCUGAUGGAGCAACGCCGCGUGAGUGAAGAAGGGUUUCGGCUCGUAAAACUCUGUUGUUAAAGAAGAACAUAUCUGAGAGUAACUGUUCAGGUAUUGACGGUAUUUAACCAGAAAGCCACGGCUAACUACGUGCCAGCAGCCGCGGUAAUACGUAGGUGGCAAGCGUUGUCCGGAUUUAUUGGGCGUAAAGCGAGCGCAGGCGGUUUUUUAAGUCUGAUGUGAAAGCCUUCGGCUCAACCGAAGAAGUGCAUCGGAAACUGGGGAAACUUGAGUGCAGAAGAGGACAGUGGAACUCCAUGUGUAGCGGUGAAAUGCGUAGAUAUAUGGAAGAACACCAGUGGGCGAAGGCGGCUGUCUGGUCUGUAACUGACGCUGAGGCUCGAAAGUAUGGGUAGCAAACAGGAUUAGAUACCCUGGUAGUCCAUACCGUAAACGAUGAAUGCUAAGUGUUGGAGGGUUUCCGCCCUUCAGUGCUGCAGCUAAACGCAUUAAGCAUUCCGCCUGGGGAGUACGGCCGCAAGGCUGAAACUCAAAGGAAUUGACGGGGGCCCGCACAAGCGGUGGAGCAUGUGGUUUAAUUCGAAGCUACGCGAAGAACCUUACCAGGUCUUGACAUACUAUGCAAAUCUAAGAGAUUAGACGUUCCCUUCGGGGACAUGGAUACAGGUGGUGCAUGGUUGUCGUCAGCUCGUGUCGUGAGAUGUUGGGUUAAGUCCCGCAACGAGCGCAACCCUUAUUAUCAGUUGCCAGCAUUAAGUUGGGCACUCUGGUGAGACUGCCGGUGACAAACCGGAGGAAGGUGGGGAUGACGUCAAAUCAUCAUGCCCCUUAUGACCUGGGCUACACACGUGCUACAAUGGAUGGUACAACGAGUUGCGAACUCGCGAGAGUAAGCUAAUCUCUUAAAGCCAUUCUCAGUUCGGAUUGUAGGCUGCAACUCGCCUACAUGAAGUCGGAAUCGCUAGUAAUCGCGGAUCAGCAUGCCGCGGUGAAUACGUUCCCGGGCCUUGUACACACCGCCCGUCACACCAUGAGAGUUUGUAACACCCAAAGUCGGUGGGGUAACCUUUUAGGAACCAGCCG